This 834-nucleotide ribosomal RNA is filed under the name uncultured archaeon. Its description in RNAcentral is "bacterial SSU rRNA". It matches the Rfam family "Archaeal small subunit ribosomal RNA", at positions 85 to 922 of the family's 1478-position model. The record is from RNAcentral.
ACGGCUCAGUAACACGUGGACAACUGCCUUAGGACGGGGAUAAACCCGGGAAACUGGGUAUAAUACCCGAUAGGUCUCGAUUGCUGGAAUGCAUCGAGAUUUAAAGCUCCGGCGCCUAAGGAUGGGUCUGCGGCCUAUCAGGUAGUAGUGGGUGUAGCGUACCUACUAGCCUACGACGGGUACGGGUUGUGAGAGCAAGAGCCCGGAGAUGGAUUCUGAGACACGAAUCCAGGCCCUACGGGGUGCAGCAGGCGCGAAAACUUUACAAUGCUGGCAACAGCGAUAAGGGAACCUCGAGUGCCAGGUUACAAAUCUGGCUGUCGAGAUGCCUAAAAAGCAUUUCAUAGCAAGGGCCGGGCAAGACCGGUGCCAGCCGCCGCGGUAACACCGGCGGCUCGAGUGGUAACCGUUAUUAUUGGGUCUAAAGGGUCUGUAGCCGGCCGAAUAAGUCUCUUGAGAAAUCUGGCAGCUUAACUGUCAGGCUUUCAGGAGAUACUGUCUGGCUCGAGGCCGGGAGAGGUGAGAGGUACUUCAGGGGUAGGGGUGAAAUCUUGUAAUCCUUGAAGGACCACCAGUGGCGAAGGCGUCUCACCAGAACGGACCUGACGGCAAGGGACGAAAGCUAGGGGCACGAACCGGAUUAGAUACCCGGGUAGUCCUAGCCGUAAACGAUACUCGCUAGGUGUCGGCCACGGUGCGACCGUUGUCGGUGCCGUAGGGAAGCCGUGAAGCGGGCCACCUGGGAAGUACGGCCGCAAGGCUGAAACUUAAAGGAAUUGGCGGGGGAGCACCACAACGGGUGGAGCUUGCGGUUUAAUUGGAUUCAACGCCGGA